UCACCGCUUGCGCGGGCAGUCUCCCUAGAGUGCCCUUGCGUAGCAACUAGGGACAAGGGUUGCGCUCGUUGCGGGACUUAACCCAACAUCUCACGACACGAGCUGACGACAGCCAUGCAGCACCUGUGUUCCGGUUCCCUUUCGGGCACACCCAGCUCUCACCAGGCUUCCAGACAUGUCAAGGGUAGGUAAGGUUGUUCGCGUUGCAUCGAAUUAAUCCACAUCAUCCACCGCUUGUGCGGGUCCCCGUCAAUUCCUUUGAGUUUUAACCUUGCGGCCGUACUCCCCAGGCGGUCAACUUCACGCGUUAGCUACGGUACCAAGGAAUCGCUUCCCCAACACCCAGUUGACAUCGUUUAGGGCGUGGACUAC
Molecule: unclassified non-coding RNA, 372 nt
Filed under: uncultured Gammaproteobacteria bacterium
Lineage: Bacteria; Pseudomonadati; Pseudomonadota; Gammaproteobacteria
Description: contains 16S-23S intergenic spacer region
Source: RNAcentral